RNAcentral lists this long non-coding RNA (929 nucleotides) under Elaeis guineensis (African oil palm). RNAcentral describes it as "long non-coding RNA (EGUI_LNC013676)". Lineage: Eukaryota; Viridiplantae; Streptophyta; Magnoliopsida; Arecales; Arecaceae. The record is from RNAcentral.
UAUGGUAGUCAAGCACAAAGUCCCCUCGAACAGAGUCAACAGAAAUCUAUGCAAUAGUCAUUGGAGAAUAUAAAGCAUAGCUAGCAAUGUCAACCAUCUAAGAACCUCAACAAUCACUUCCACUUCUUGAACUUGCCAAACAUUCGAUGCUUCCCUCCAAACAUUCGAUGCUUCCCAAACCUCAUAUGCUUCCCAUGUUUGAACUUGCCAUGCUUGAACUUUCCAUGAUGGUACCCAUGGAACAUCCCAUGGCCAAGAUGAUGAUAGCCAUGGGCCAUAUGGUGAGCCCCAUAAGCAGCUGCAGCAGCAGCUGCACCCCCAGCCAUUAGUGCCCCCAUGCCACUAGAUCCAUGACCUGGAUACAGAAUUUCCAAAGUAAAUAACAAUAAAAUAGUAGAAAUUCAAGAAAAAAGGGGGGGAAAACAUAGCAACACUGAAGGCUCUUCAAGUUAUUUCCUUGUCUAGUGUUCACUGAAGUUGAGUUUUAGGAGCGUGUCCAAUAAAAUCGGAAAAGGGCUCAUCCUAAUGAGAACAAGCAUCUUUUCUUUGGUUUUUUCUUUUUUUUUUUUGUUCUUGAAGCUGAUGAUGGUAAUGAUGGUGAUAAUGAUAUAUAAAAGCAACAAAUAUCUACGAUGAUGUUAUCAGUGUUUUACAGCCUUGAAGGCAUUGGCUAAUUUAUUGUUGGAAUAUAGAAGACCGAUGGGUUUAUACUACUAAAAUAGCAUGAAAUGAAGCACUAUAUAAUUUCUGAUAUAUUAACAAGGUCGCUAAGCAUAUCAGUAAGGGUUUGGAAAAAUAAUCACAGAUGCUCUAUGAUGAAUACCAUGAUAUGGGGGAGCAGAUGGACUAGCACCAGGAUAACCUGAUGGUGGGUAUCCACCAGCAGGUGGAUAUCCAGAGGGUGGGUAUCCAUGAGGGGGAUACCCUGC